GAAAUGCGAUAAGUAAUGUGAAUUGCAGAAUUCAGUUAAUCAUCGAAUCUUUGAACGCACAUUGCGCCCGUUAGCAUUCUAGCGGGCAUGCCUGUCCGAGCGUCAUUUCAACCCUCAGGGUCCCCGUUUCGGCGGGGAACCUGGUGUUGGGGAUCGGCCCGCCCCGCGCGGCGCCGUCCCCCAAAUCUAGUGGCGGUCUCGCUGCAGCCUCCCCUGCGUAGUAGUUUACAACCUCGCACCGGAGCGCGGCGAGGCCACGCCGUAAAACCCCCGACUUUCUGAACGUUGACCUCGGAUCAGGUAGGAAUACCCGCUGAACUUAAGC
Molecule: unclassified non-coding RNA, 325 nt
Filed under: plant metagenome
Description: partial contains 5.8S ribosomal RNA, internal transcribed spacer 2, and large subunit ribosomal RNA
Rfam family: 5.8S ribosomal RNA (bases 1-105)
Source: RNAcentral